RNAcentral lists this ribosomal RNA (497 nucleotides) under uncultured bacterium. RNAcentral describes it as "partial 16S ribosomal RNA". It matches the Rfam family "Bacterial small subunit ribosomal RNA", at positions 28 to 507 of the family's 1533-position model. The record is from RNAcentral.
GAUGAACGCUGGCGGCGUGCCUAAUACAUGCAAGUCGAGCGAACGGACGAGAAGCUUGCUUCUCUGAUGUUAGCGGCGGACGGGUGAGUAACACGUGGAUAACCUACCUAUAAGACUGGGAUAACUUCGGGAAACCGGAGCUAAUACCGGAUGAUAUUUUGAACCGCAUGGUUCAAAAGUGAAAGACGGUCUUGCUGUCACUCAUAGAUGGAUCCGCGCUGCAUUAGCUAGUUGGUAAGGUAACGGCUUACCAAGGCAACGAUGCAUAGCCGACCUGAGAGGGUGAUCGGCCACACUGGAACUGAGACACGGUCCAGACUCCUACGGGAGGCAGCAGUAGGGAAUCUUCCGCAAUGGGCGAAAGCCUGACGGAGCAACGCCGCGUGAGUGAUGAAGGUCUUCGGAUCGUAAAACUCUGUUAUUAGGGAAGAACAUAUGUGUAAGUAACUGUGCACAUCUUGACGGUACCUAAUCAGAAAGCCACGGCUAACUACGUG